Molecule: ribosomal RNA, 559 nt
Filed under: Fusarium sp. BAB-5660
Lineage: Eukaryota; Fungi; Ascomycota; Sordariomycetes; Hypocreales; Nectriaceae
Description: eukaryotic LSU rRNA
Rfam family: 5.8S ribosomal RNA (bases 195-348)
Source: RNAcentral
AGUCGUAACAAGGUCUCCGUUGGUGAACCAGCGGAGGGAUCAUUACCGAGUUUACAACUCCCAAACCCCUGUGAACAUACCUAUACGUUGCCUCGGCGGAUCAGCCCGCGCCCCGUAAAACGGGACGGCCCGCCCGAGGACCCCUAAACUCUGUUUUUAGUGGAACUUCUGAGUAAAACAAACAAAUAAAUCAAAACUUUCAACAACGGAUCUCUUGGUUCUGGCAUCGAUGAAGAACGCAGCAAAAUGCGAUAAGUAAUGUGAAUUGCAGAAUUCAGUGAAUCAUCGAAUCUUUGAACGCACAUUGCGCCCGCCAGUAUUCUGGCGGGCAUGCCUGUUCGAGCGUCAUUUCAACCCUCAAGCUCAGCUUGGUGUUGGGACUCGCGGUAACCCGCGUUCCCCAAAUCGAUUGGCGGUCACGUCGAGCUUCCAUAGCGUAGUAAUCAUACACCUCGUUACUGGUAAUCGUCGCGGCCACGCCGUUAAACCCCAACUUCUGAAUGUUGACCUCGGAUCAGGUAGGAAUACCCGCUGAACUUAAGCAUAUCAAUAAGCGGAG